GAGGAAAAGAAAUCAACCGAGAUUCCCCCAGUAGCGGCGAGCGAACGGGGAGCAGCCCAGAGUCUGAAUCAGCAUGUGUGGUAGUGGAACGGUCUGGAAAGUCCGGCGAUACAGGGUGAUAGCCCCGUACACAAAAUCGCAUGUGUUGUGAACUCGAAGAGUAGGGCGGGACACGUGGUAUCCUGUCUGAAUAUGGGGGGACCAUCCUCCAAGGCUAAAUACUCCUGACUGACCGAUAGUGAACCAGUACCGUGAGGGAAAGGCGAAAAGAACCCCGGCGAGGGGAGUGAAAAAGAACCUGAAACCGUGUACGUACAAGCAGUGGGAGCCUCUUUAUGGGGUGACUGCGUACCUUUUGUAUAAUGGGUCAGCGACUUAUAUUCUGUAGCAAGGUUAACCGAAUAGGGGAGCCGAAGGGAAACCGAGUCUUAACUGGGCGUUAAGUUGCAGGGUAUAGACCCGAAACCCGGUGAUCUAGCCAUGGGCAGGUUGAAGGUUGGGUAACACUAACUGGAGGACCGAACCGACUAAUGUUGAAAAAUUAGCGGAUGACUUGUGGCUGGGGGUGAAAGGCCAAUCAAACCGGGAGAUAGCUGGUUCUCCCCGAAAGCUAUUUAGGUAGCGCCUCGUGAAUUCAUCUUCGGGGGUAGAGCACUGUUUCGGCUAGGGGGUCAUCCCGACUUACCAACCCGAUGCAAACUGCGAAUACCGAAGAAUGUUAUCACGGGAGACACACGGCGGGUGCUAACGUCCGUCGUGAAGAGGGAAACAACCCAGACCGCCAGCUAAGGUCCCAAAGUCAUGGUUAAGUGGGAAACGAUGUGGGAAGGCACAGACAGCCAGGAUGUUGGCUUAGAAGCAGCCAUCAUUUAAAGAAAGCGUAAUAGCUCACUGGUCGAGUCGGCCUGCGCGGAAGAUGUAACGGGGCUAAACCAUGCACCGAAGCUGCGGCAGCGACACUAUGUGUUGUUGGGUAGGGGAGCGUUCUGUAAGCCGUUGAAGGUGUGCUGUGAGGCAUGCUGGAGGUAUCAGAAGUGCGAAUGCUGACAUAAGUAACGAUAAUGCGGGUGAAAAACCCGCACGCCGGAAGACCAAGGGUUCCUGUCCAACGUUAAUCGGGGCAGGGUGAGUCGACCCCUAAGGCGAGGCCGAAAGGCGUAGUCGAUGGGAAACAGGUUAAUAUUCCUGUACUUGGUGUUACUGCGAAGGGGGGACGGAGAAGGCUAUGUUAGCCGGGCGACGGUUGUCCCGGUUUAAGCAUGUAGGCGGAGGUUCCAGGUAAAUCCGGUACCUUAUUAACGCUGAGGUGUGAUGACGAGGCACUACGGUGCUGAAGUAACAAAUGCCCUGCUUCCAGGAAAAGCCUCUAAGCAUCAGGUAACACGAAAUCGUACCCCAAACCGACACAGGUGGUCAGGUAGAGAAUACCAAGGCGCUUGAGAGAACUCGGGUGAAGGAACUAGGCAAAAUGGUGCCGUAACUUCGGGAGAAGGCACGCUGAUGGUAGGUGAAGCGACUUGCUCGNNNNNNNNNNCAGGUGGUCAGGUAGAGAAUACCAAGGCGCUUGAGAGAACUCGGGUGAAGGAACUAGGCAAAAUGGUGCCGUAACUUCGGGAGAAGGCACGCUGAUAUGUAGGUGAAGUGAUUUACUCAUGGAGCUGAAAUCAGUCGAAGAUACCAGCUGGCUGCAACUGUUUAUUAAAAACACAGCACUGUGCAAACACGAAAGUGGACGUAUACGGUGUGACGCCUGCCCGGUGCCGGAAGGUUAAUUGAUGGGGUUAUCCGUAAGGAGAAGCUCUUGAUCGAAGCCCCGGUAAACGGCGGCCGUAACUAUAACGGUCCUAAGGUAGCGAAAUUCCUUGUCGGGUAAGUUCCGACCUGCACGAAUGGCGUAAUGAUGGCCAGGCUGUCUCCACCCGAGACUCAGUGAAAUUGAACUCGCUGUGAAGAUGCAGUGUACCCGCGGCAAGACGGAAAGACCCCGUGAACCUUUACUAUAGCUUGACACUGAACACUGGUCCUUGAUGUGUAGGAUAGGUGGGAGGCUUUGAAGUGUGGACGCCAGUCUGCAUGGAGCCAUCCUUGAAAUACCACCCUUUAAUGGCUGGUGUUCUAACGUAGACCCGUAAUCCGGGUUGCGGACAGUGUCUGGUGGGUAGUUUGACUGGGGCGGUCUCCUCCUAAAGAGUAACGGAGGAGCACGAAGGUUAGCUAAUCCUGGUCGGACAUCAGGAGGUUAGUGCAAAGGCAUAAGCUAGCUUGACUGCGAGAGUGACGGCUCGAGCAGGUGCGAAAGCAGGUCUUAGUGAUCCGGUGGUUCUGAAUGGAAGGGCCAUCGCUCAACGGAUAAAAGGUACUCCGGGGAUAACAGGCUGAUACCGCCCAAGAGUUCAUAUCGACGGCGGUGUUUGGCACCUCGAUGUCGGCUCAUCACAUCCUGGGGCUGAAGUAGGUCCCAAGGGUAUGGCUGUUCGCCAUUUAAAGUGGUACGCGAGCUGGGUUUAGAACGUCGUGAGACAGUUCGGUCCCUAUCUGCCGUGGGCGCUGGAGAAUUGAGGGGGGCUGCUCCUAGUACGAGAGGACCGGAGUGGACGCAUCACUGGUGUUCGGGUUGUCAUGCCAAUGGCAUUGCCCGGUAGCUAAAUGCGGAAGAGAUAAGUGCUGAAAGCAUCUAAGCACGAAACUUGCCCCGAGAUGAGUUCUCCCUGA
Molecule: ribosomal RNA, 2712 nt
Filed under: Citrobacter portucalensis
Lineage: Bacteria; Pseudomonadati; Pseudomonadota; Gammaproteobacteria; Enterobacterales; Enterobacteriaceae
Description: partial 23S ribosomal RNA
Rfam family: Bacterial large subunit ribosomal RNA
Source: RNAcentral